Molecule: non-coding RNA, 1517 nt
Organism: Procambarus clarkii (red swamp crayfish)
Lineage: Eukaryota; Metazoa; Arthropoda; Malacostraca; Decapoda; Cambaridae
Source: RefSeq, a predicted model, not a curated record
GUCAGUGCAGGUGUGUGAGUGUCCGUGGAAGGUUGUACUUCACGCUCCCUAUAAGUUAGGCUACAUACCGGUAGUAAAAUUGGGAUCAGAUAUUUGGUGCAAAUACACCACAUACACACUGAAAAUCGUGUAUUACCACCUAUAAUCAAGUGCAUCCUUGCCCACUCGGAUCAUACAUACUCAAAAAAUAUAAAGAUAAAUGUAUAAUAAUGUGUUCGGGGCCAAGUGAUAUUUCACAUGUUAAUAAUAAAGGAAAAAAUUCAAUUCGGUACCGUGAAAUUAUGAAAAUUCAUUAAGAAAAACAAUGAUGUGCCGUGUGCCGUUAGAAAGGUUCGGUGAGCCUUUCCUAGUGUAUUAUCGGUGUGUGUCAUCUUGAAAAUAGCCCAUUUCUAGUAAAAAAAAAAAUAAUGGGGUGUGGGAAUGUGGUGGUUGUGUGCAUCUUGGUGGCCGGGAGCGUCUACCAGGUCGUCUCGUAUCCCAUACCACCCAAUGGACUGGGCAGGGAGAGUGGGUGGAGCAGCAGGGACUAUAUCCACGCGGCCCUUGGUGUUGCCGCACUGCUCUCCUCUCUUGUCACCCUCCUUGCGUGUGUGUGUUGUAAGCGCGCUCGAGGAUUUAAGCGCUCGGAUUCGGGACUACAGGUAAAUUCACACAUUUUUUUGUUUUGUUUUUACAUGUACUGGUGAUCAAAUUGUGAUACCAAAGACUCGAGGUUUAUUGUACAAUAACAUUCCCUCGGCUGGUAAGGUAGUCGUUUAUAGUUUACAGUUGAUUCUAAAUACGGUAUUGAUGAUGCAUGAGCUAGAGCUGAGCUUUAAAAUGGUGACCACUGAUAGCAUAGCAUAGAUAGCAUUGUUGAACUCUUAUUAGCCGAAACCUCCAUCAAGAGUUAAAGUAAUUAAGAGCUUCUCCCAUGAUAUGAUUGUAGUUUUAAUAUGUGUAGCUUCAUUAUGCACUGUAUAAGGACAGGUACUGUAUUCCGUAUUUGUUGAUGUUCUACGGUCAGUGGCUUGCACGUUGGAAAACAGAACUUGAUAUCUUGUGGAGCAUCGUAAGUGUUAUCAUUGAUAGUCAAGAAGUGUAGCGCCGUUAUCAUGAAAGUAUGCCAGCAAUCCUUAUUUUUACCUCACGUAAGCCAGUCUAGGUAAUCUAUUCCGGGCAUCUUCUGCCAGCUCUCAUUGUAACGCGAGAAGGUUGUCUGUGGCAUUUGUUUCGCUCUUGAGAGUGAUUGAGAGGCAGUGAGCGAAUGUAAGAGCUAGUAAUUGAGUGAGUGAUCUGGCUGGCGAGUGAGUGAUUUGAAUGGCAAGUGAGAGGGUUGGCAGGUGACUUUUAAGUUGGUGGCGAGUGAGAGAUGUUGGUGAAGAAGCCAUUAUAAGCAAGAUGUUUCACGUGUUGUGAAUGCGUGUAUAUGUUCAUUCUGCGGCGAAAUAACACCGAGUCGUCGUUUGCUUCUUUAAAAAAAAUUAAGGUAAAUGUACCCGCCUCUUCACUCUCCUCCAAACCUCCCUACUGUCCCC